This 4338-nucleotide small RNA is filed under the name Pan troglodytes (chimpanzee). RNAcentral describes it as "sense intronic". Lineage: Eukaryota; Metazoa; Chordata; Mammalia; Primates; Hominidae. The record is from RNAcentral.
GCGUCCCCACGGGCAGUGCAGAGGUCACCAGCACACAGCAGAGACAGGCAUCCUGUGGGCGGUGCAGAGGUCACCACCACACAGCAGAGACAGGCGUCCUGUGGGCGGUGCAGAGGUCACCAGCACACAGCAGAGACGGGCGUCCCCACGGGCAGUGCAGAGGUCACCAGCACGCAGCAGAGACGGGCGUCCCCACGGGCAGUGCAGAGGUCACCAGCACGCAGCAGAGACGGGCGUCCCACGGGCAGUGCAGAGGUCACCAGCAGCAGAGACGGGCGUCCCACGGGCAGUGCAGAGGUCACCAGCACGCAGCAGAGACGGGCGUCCCCACGGGCAGUGCAGAGGUCACCAGCACCAGCAGAGGCACGGGCGGCAGAGGUCACCCACGCAGAGACAGGCGUCCUGUGGGCGGUGCAGAGGUCACCAGCACCAGCAGAGACGGGCGUCCCCACGGGCAGUGCAGAGGUCACCAGCACCAGCAGAGACGGGCGUCCCCACGGGCAGUGCAGAGGUCACCAGCACGCAGCAGAGACGGGCGUCCCCACGGGCAGUGCAGAGGUCACCACCAUGCAGCAGAGACGGGCGUCCCCACGGCAGUGCAGAGGUCACCAGCACGCAGCAGAGACGGGCGUCCCCACGGGCAGUGCAGAGGUCACCAGCACACAGCAGAGACGGGCGUCCCCACGGGCAGUGCAGAGGUCACCACCAUGCAGCAGAGACAGGCGUCCUGUGGGCGGUGCAGAGGUCACCAGCACGCAGCAGAGACGGGCGUCCCCACGGGCAGUGCAGAGGUCACCACACUGAGCCAGACUGUCCUCGGCCUUCCCUGGGUUGAGCACCAGAAGAAAACCAUGUGCUUUGAGCCCUGGAAAGACAAUCAGCCCAGCCAGAGCCAGAGCCUGAAACAGGCAGCCCCCAGGGCACAGCUGCAGGAAGCUGCAUCCUCUCGUGGGCUCCAGCAAGGCGGGGGACGCUGUGUUCCCUCAGUGGCUUCUUGGUGCCCCUUGAUGUCCAGGAGUGUGAGGUGAGGUGAGGGCUCUGAGCUGGGAAGCUGACAAGUCAGGGAGAAUGCCAGGCCAGACGCAUCGGCCUGCGGGGGCUGGAGCAGAGCCUGGCACUCACUGUACUUGCUCCGUCUCACUCCGGUUGCUGCGCUGGCCCAGGGCUGUCCACCCCAGGCGUGUGGCAGAGCAAGCCUGGCUCCCAGAGCUCCCCUCAGGCCCUGGAGCGGCAGGCAGUGGGCAUCCUCAGCCCAACCCGUGGCCGUGCCAUGCACAGGAUAGCUGAGCUUGCCGCUGCCACAGGGUGUCGGCGGGUUGGGGCAACAGACAGGGCCCCGGUGCUGGUGGCCAGGCUGGCUGUAUGUGUGGGUCGGCUGCCAUCUGACUGUGCUGGAACAAGAACCACCCCCACCCCACCCCCCACUGCUCUCCACCCGGUUCGGGGCCGGCCCUGGCUGGGCUUCGUGGAUCCUCAGGUUGUGCGGGUCAUGGCUUCCUGGGGCUGGGCCAGAGCCAUCAUGGAGUCACCACGGUUCCUUGCAGACACAGGCAGGGCAGGCGGCGCCUUUCCACCUUCCUUGCCUCAAGCUGCGGGGACAGCACCAAGAAGCCACGUGGACCCAGAUGGCCUCGCCGGACUUCCUGACUCAGGGCCGUCUCCAGCCUACAUCCCGCCGGGGCUGCACACACAGACGACUUCUCCUGGAGCCCUGGAGCAUUUCCCCCGUGUUUCGGCCGGGUUGUCUGCUUUACAUGAGUUUCUUUCAGUCGUGUCAAAGUGAAGGUCUCUUUCACUCAGGACGUGAUCAAUGGCGUGGCCAUCAAGUCACAGCGUUGAAGGCAACAGAUGGCCUUUAAUGACGCUAUUUUAAAAAAUAAUUUCCCCUUUCUUUCCCCAUCCUGGUUUUGUGAGGACAGAGCAUCGGCAUCUCAGGGCGGGGGUGGGUCUGCCUACUCUGUGGCCAGCAUGCAGCAGAUCCUUGUAGGUGGAGCCCACAGCUCUGUGUCCCGGCACCUCUGUGCCACCUGCACAGGGGCAGAGGGUGGGUUUUCCGUGAGGCCCCCUGGAGCCAAACCACCGUUGAUCACUUCCUCCUGAUGAACUGGGCUGUGUUGGGGUGCAGAGCUCUCGGUUGCGUAUGUUCUGGGAAUUGAGCCAGGGUCCUUGUUGCUGGGAAUUCUCAGACCUGGACAAUAUCAGUAGAGGAGACCACUUGAUUUUUAGUUUGACCCCUGGAGAAUUGAAAAGCUGGAAAUCUGUUUUCUGUACCUUCCCCCUCCCAACCCUCCCCCGACUCCCUACCUGGCUUCUGUCUGGAAGGGACGUCUGCAUGGCUGUCCUGGGGUGGCUGCAGGUGUGCAGAUGCUCACCGCCACUGUCUCCCCAUUCCUGCUGGAGCCCACUUUGGCGUGAGUGUUGCCUGGCAGAGGCAUCGCAGACCCACGGGAUGAUAAAGAGAAGCCAGAGAACUCAUAAUUCCAAAAGCUGGCAAAGUUAAAACGUGAUGUCUGGCCGGGUGCGGUGGCUCACACCUGUAAUCCCAGCACUUUGGGAGACUGAGAUGGGCAGAUCACCUGAGGUCAGGAGUUCGAGACCAGCCUGGCCAACAUGGUGAAAUCCCGUCUGUACUACACACACACACACACACACACACACAUAAAAAUUAGUGAGUAUGCUGGCGGGCGCCUGUAAUUCCAGUUAUUUGGGAGGCUGAGGCAGGAGAAUUGCUUGAACCUGGGAGGCGGAGGUUGCAGUGAGCCAAGAUCGUGCCAUUGCACUCCAGCCUGGGCAACAGAGUGAGACUCCAGCUCAAAAAAAUAAAAGAAAAAAGAAAAGAAAAUAAUAAAAUAAAUAAAAUAAGAUGUCCAAACUCACACCUGUGCAGCUCAUGGCUCUGGAGGGCUCACACCUGGCUACAGCACCCAGAGGUAGGGCCUUCUGAUGCUCCUUGUGUGCAAACUGUCUUGGUCCUCAUUAACACAAGAAGAAAAAGCAACAGCUGAAACGUGGAAUACGUAAGCCCACAGUGUGAACCAGUUUUGGGUCAGAAUCAAGCAAAGGCCAGGAAGCCAUAGCCAGGCUGUGUGAUUGCAGGCACCGUGGAAACUCCAGUAACUAAGAUGGCACUAUGAAGAGCUGCCUGGGAUGUUACAGAAGCCUUAGGCCAGUCAGUGUGACAACUUAGAUCAGAUGGACAAAACCCUUGAAGAAGGGUGCAGGGGGAGUGCCGGGUGCAGUGACUUCUUUCCUCAAGGAAAGCCAGGAUUUGGGACGCGUGUCGGAGCUGAGCCCCACGUCUCUCUUUACACCCAGACCUGCUCACCUUUUGUGGGAUUCAGGCCCGAGUGUGCGGCAUCGUGCAGUGGAGCCUCCGACCCUCACGGGCAGGGCACGUCCCGCGUCCAGGGCGUGUGCCUCCCACGUGUGUGCUGCCACCCCAAGCCUCGUGGGGUCGGAAGGAAGGUGCCAGGGGCUCAACAGGUUUGCGCCUUCGUCAUCUGCUCUUUUCCCACAGGCCCAGGACUGUCUGCAAAGCGCUUUACGCCGAGCAUGCUUCACCCCCGAGCGUGCCAGGGGGUCCGCAGCCCAUGGGAUGUGUGGGUCAUGGGCGGCGCUGGAAGGCAGACGUGGAGCAGUGCUGCCAACACCAAGACCUGACUUUGAAGUCCACAGGCUGCUGCUUGGCAUCAGAGUCACUGGUGAAAUCACAUUAAACGUAAUGGAAUUGGUAUCGGCAUGCAGCCCUGUGAGGCCAGGAUCAGGCAGAUGUGCUGCCGUUUCCCCGACAGGCCCGCCCUGGUCCUGGGCAGCCACACUCCAGAACGAGAGUAAUUAUCCUAAUUGCUUUAUUGCAUCAGUGUGGGGGCAGCUCGGGCAGCUUAGAGGAAAAGGGGCUUCUUUCAGGGCCCGUCGGCUUCAGGGCGACAUGCACCACCCGGAAGGGGCAGACCUCUGACUCCGGCAUGGAGGCGUCGUGGGAAUUUUUAGAAAAUGAUGUCUAUGGCAUCCUGACCUCUGGCCCCCAGCUGCAGCCCCCUGUGAGGCCGAGGCCCAGACCGGAGUCCCUGAAAGUGCUUUGUGCCUCCGACCUCCGGCGUUUUUGGCAGAGCUGGGACAGGAGCCGGGGUGCUCCUCACGGCUGAAGCGCAUCAGCCUCCAGGGUGAGGGUGUCUCAGAUCCCCGCACAGCCCCUCACACAGCCCCUGGGACAAUCACGCAGGACAGUGCUCUCCUGUGAUCUUCAAAGGAUCUCCUGGGUUGUGGGGGUGCAAAAUAAAACUCUGCUACAAAGAGCAUUAGUAAUUCCUCUUCCCAACCGCACAGUUCAGCUCAAGC